AUUGAACGCUGGCGGAAUGCUUUACACAUGCAAGUCGAACGGCAGCACGGACUUCGGUCUGGUGGCGUGUGGCGAACGGGUGAGUAAUACAUCGGAACGUGCCCAGUCGUGGGGGAUAACGUAGCGAAAGCUACGCUAAUACCGCAUACGAUCUAAGGAUGAAAGCGGGGGAUCGCAAGACCUCGCGCGAUUGGAGCGGCCGAUGGCAGAUUAGGUAGUUGGUAGGGUAAAGGCCUACCAAGCCGACGUUCUGUAGCUGGGCUGAGAGGAUGAUCCGCCACACUGGGAAUGAGACACGGGCCAGACUCCUACGGGAGGCAGCAGUGGGGAAUUUUGGACAAUGGGCGCAAGCCUGAUCCAGCCAUUCCGCGUGCAGGAUGAAGGCCUUCGGGUUGUAAACUGCUUUUGUACAGAACGAAAAGGCUCUGGUUAAUACCCGGGGCUCAUGACGGUACUGUAAGAACAAGCACCGGCUAACUACGUGCCAGCCGCCGCCGUAA
Molecule: ribosomal RNA, 500 nt
Filed under: uncultured bacterium
Lineage: Bacteria
Description: partial 16S ribosomal RNA
Rfam family: Bacterial small subunit ribosomal RNA
Source: RNAcentral